Molecule: small RNA, 132 nt
Filed under: Klebsiella quasipneumoniae
Lineage: Bacteria; Pseudomonadati; Pseudomonadota; Gammaproteobacteria; Enterobacterales; Enterobacteriaceae
Also listed under: 1 other name
Description: RtT sRNA
Rfam family: RtT RNA
About the family: This family represents a bacterial cis-regulatory element known as RtT RNA. The exact function of RtT is unknown although it is thought that it may be involved in changing the cellular response in relation to amino acid starvation.
Source: RNAcentral
UAUUCUGCCCCACGGGGAAGGAUGAGAAGCUUCGACUAAGGUUCGACUCGAGCGUAGCGAGAGAACGUUGCCGCAGGCAACGGCCCGAAGGGCGAGGCGCUUUAGCGCCGAGUUAUCCUUCCCCCACCGCUG